CUUUUUCAGAUAUAGAAAAGCUAAGAAAAUUCAUCACCAGCAGACUUACAGCACAAGAAUGUUAAAUAAAGUUCUUCAGGAAGAAGGAAAAUCGUACCAGAUGGAAACCCAAAUCUACAUAAAGGAAUGAAGAGCAUUGAGAAUGGUAAAUAUUGUCACUGGCCACUGAUUUAAGACUGGAAGGAAACAGAAUGGAAGCAAGAGACUACUGUCAUAAUCAAGAUGACGAAGCUAACUUGUCCAAGGGCACACAAUAAGUGGGUGGAGACUCCCAGGUCCCCACCACCCUGAAAUGACCAAUUCAAGGGCUGUUUUCACUGUACAGCCUCUGUACAUUGUACAACACCUCUUUCUAGUAAUAACAUAUCAAUACGAAAGGAACUUCUCAAGAAAUUUUGAUUUUGUUUAUAAAAGUCUAUUCAGAAUAUAUUGGAAGGAAUGGUAAGAGUGGGGUUAGGCUCUUGCACUUCACUGAAAAUUCGUAAAUAACAGAUAUCAAUUAAUAUGGACUUAAACACUUAUUAUAUAUUACCUGGAUACCAUACUAAGGAUUUUAUAAACGCUUUUCUCAAUUAACCCCAACCUCAAUAACCUAUAAAGUAGACACUAUUACGAUCUUCACUGUACAGGUGAAGAAAACCAAUGCCUUAAGAAAAGUUAAAUGAAUUAGAGUAUUAUAAUAUGUACUUGAAUCAUGAGAUCAUGAGGAACUGAUGACCAGCUGUAUGGCUUUCUAGGCCUCUGAAGGUUUUUAAAAAUAAUUGUUGAGGCCAAAGGUUCUGGUUGCUUGUGCCCAUUGGGCGGUGGUGGGAAACUUUAAUGGUUGUAAGAAGAAAGCAAAGCAAUCAACUUGUAACUGAAUGGAUACCCUGCCAGCAUGUUGUAAAUUUUACUGUAUUCGAGCUAACUGACGCUAUCUUCUUCUGUAAAUAGCUUGCUUUGAUAUAGUUCUUGUGCAGGGGCUCCUGCCAUCUGGAAAGAACAUGAUAAAAUGUAGAAAACAACACCUUCACUUAUAUGCCUCUAGUCACCUAGCCCCCAACCCAAAAUAGCAUGAAAGCUUUCUGCCGUCAUGGCUGGGCACUGUUCCCUGCAGGAACAGUCACUGGCCAGUUAAUUAAAGCUCGC
Molecule: non-coding RNA, 1128 nt
Organism: Microcebus murinus (gray mouse lemur)
Lineage: Eukaryota; Metazoa; Chordata; Mammalia; Primates; Cheirogaleidae
Source: RefSeq, a predicted model, not a curated record